AUGGGGGAUGUUGGCGACCCAUCUAUCAUAAUGGAGUUGGCUUUGAAGCCCGCUGGAGAAGCACUGAGCUUGGCACCGGUCGAUCCGCAGCCAUCUACAGGAAAAGAAGGUGCUGAUGUCCCCGGAUGGACAAGAAGGGUCAGGAUUGGGCAAGCCCCCGAGCGUGUUCCUUGUGCUGGGAGGGUGUGUGCCCUCGAAAAAACACUAAGAGGAUAUGCAGAAAACAAAGGUGAUACAGUUGUGGUUCCAGUGGUUGGAUAUAAUUUCGAUUCGUUGGGAGAAGCAUACGACUUCUACAAUCUAUACUCUUGGGAAAUCGGUUUCGGUAUAAGAUACGGCAAAAGCCGUCUAAAUGUUGAGAGAACCAAGUGUAUGCAGGAAAUAGUUUGUGGAUGUUCAGGCAAACCAAAGAGAGGGAAUACACGGACCUGCCGCUGCGAGUGCCCUGCAAUGAUUCGUUUGCUUCGAUCCAAUGACAAUGGCUUGUAUAUAAGUGAGCACCGGCCAUCGCACAACCACGCUUUGACAGAUAAGUGUGGCGAAAAGGUAUACUGGCCUUCACAUAAGCAUAUUGAUCUAUAUACAAGAGACCUUGUGAAGCAGCUUAGAGAAAACAAUAUUAGCAUUGGGAAAGUUCAUAACAUACUUGGUAGUUUCUUUGGAUCAAUGAAUAAUCAGCCUUUCACAAAAAGGGCUUUGAGGGGACUCUGUGGUGAAAUCAGCCGAGACCAAGCAGACGAUGACGUCCGAAAAACUAUGGAUGUCUUUGCAGAAUUGGGUUCAAAAGAUGCUGGCUUGUAUUACAGAGUUCAACCUGACAGUGAUAGCCGGAUAAGGAAUUUACUUUGGUCAACAGGUGCAAGCAGGAUGCAGUACCACUAUUUUGGAGAUGCAAUAACAUUUGACACAACAUAUAGAACAAACCUAUAUGAUAUACCAUUCAGACUUUUUGUUGGAGUAAACAACCACUUCCAAAGCAUUAUCUUUGGUGGUGUUCUUGUCAGGGAUGAGACAUCAGAAACUUUCGAGUGGGUGUUCAAUGAAUUCAUCCGCAUGAUGGGUGGCAAGCAUCCCCAGACCAUACUUACAGAUCAAUGCUGGGCUAUGGAGCUGGCAAUAGAGAAAACAAUGCCCGAAACCACACACCGGUGGUGCAAGUGGCACAUACUUAAGAAGGCAAAAGAGAAACUUGGUACAUACUACACAAAGCGAAGCAACUUCAGAGCAGAAUUCCAUAAAAUUGUCAAUCACAUGUUGACAGAAGAUGAAUUUGAAAAUGCAUGGAGAGAGCUGCUUGAUAAAUACAGUUUACAAAAAACCCGUACAUGGCAAGCAUAUAUGAAGUACGUCAGAAGUGGGCAAAACCAUAAUUCUGGGGCAAAUUUUGUGCAAAGAUGA
This 1398-nucleotide ribosomal RNA is filed under the name Triticum aestivum (bread wheat). RNAcentral describes it as "partial small subunit ribosomal RNA". Lineage: Eukaryota; Viridiplantae; Streptophyta; Magnoliopsida; Poales; Poaceae. The record is from RNAcentral.